AGUUGGGAGAGAAAAGUUUGAGUCUAACAGCUUUCACUGAGCUUGUUCAGGUCAAGAACCACAGGAAGGGACAGGAUGGCUGGUCUAGUGCUUCACAGGGGAGAGGAGAGGUCAAGCAAUGUGUCAGAAACUCCCUGUUGCAAGAAGUGACCGGUAAGGAAUCCAGUGGCAACAGGAUAUGAAGUUCUUCCCUGCCCCACCACCAGCCUCCAUGCAGCACCCAGUUAGGGCAUUUGAAUAUACUGUUUGAUGCAUCUUAUGACAUUGGUGGCAGUUUUCAAUUAUUUGUGUAGAGUUUUGGUUUGGUUUUUCUUUAAAUCCCCAAAUGACUUGGGUCCAGAUGUAUGAAGGAGCAACUCAGGAAGUCUGCCUGGCUCCCUUCCUAUCAGGUUUAUAAAAGACUCGUAGAAGCCAUCUUUUUAACAGAACUUUAGGGAGCCCUGCUUCUCUUGCUGCCUUGACUGUUCCCCUUGGCCACUGGAGUUUAGCAAUAAGUUUAUGGUCUAAUUUCAUGGGGUUUUUUGUUAUGAUAUUGAUCUUACACUAGAAGCCACUGUAAGAACCUGCUACUGAGCUAGUCAAGAAGAGUCUAAAUGAAGGGAUGAAAUAUUAGUUGCCUUGCAAUCCAGCCUGUUUUAUUGAAGAUGCAUUGGUCUCAGCACCAGGGUUGGUGGGUGCAGGAGACAUGGAUGGGAGAGUUGAUUUGCUCCAUGAGCCCCCAACCCUCAUUGGUAUGUAAGUUUGCAUGUACUUUGCUUCAGGAUCCCAGACAGGGCCAACCCAAGACAUUUUGGUGCCUGGGAAAACCACAAAAUGGUACCCCCUCAUCACCAGAGAAUAAAAGGUGAGUGAAGAUCUACAUCAGAGAGGGGGGGAAGAAAGAUCUAUGCUGGGAUCUGCUGCCCCUGUGGAUCUUGCCACCCAAGGCAGACGCCUCACCUUGUCUCACAGGUGAUCCAGCCCUGAUCCUAGAGAGCAUUUAUCUCUUUCUAGGCACUCAGCCAGGCAUUGAAACCAGACUCCAAGGGAGAGUAUGGUCCUUUCUCAACUGGCAACAGAAGCUUGGGUGUCCCUAUUCUCAUGCCUGUUUUAAAUGUGGCACUGCAGAUUUUAAUCACUUUAAUUGGUAGAUUAAUGAACUAAAAGCUUUCACUGAUGGAUUGGCCAGGUUGCAAUUUUAAUCAGUGAGGACUAUUUUAAAGUAUUUUUGAAGCUAUUUGGGUUCUGACAUGUCGAAUAACAGAGGGGGGGAAAGAAAAAAUUCCAGAUGGCCUUUCCAUGUAACAAAGGAUGAGGGCUUUUUGUCUAUGAAAUAUAAAGUUCUCUCUUACUCCAAUACAGGCAAACACUAUUGAUGUUCUGCAAACUUAUUUAAAUGUAAUGGAUUAAUUAACCAAUUCUUUUUUAAAAAAUGCAGAUGAGCAAUUGUCAAGGCUGCCUCAAGUCUUAGCUCACAAAAGACCAACGCCUCUGUCUUCUUAUAUACAAAAGUGUUUAUUGCAGUUCAUGGUUUGCUUGACAUCCUAGGCGCGCAGCCUUACGUCUCUUACGCUAGACCGCCGAAGUCCCCUCUGAGUCAGUUCCUCCCCUGCACCAAUUUAAGAGACUUGCGCUGCUCCACCUCUUUCUCUCCUUCCUUUUCCGCAGGGUCCUUCUGCCCACUGGGGUUUCGCCCCUCCUGGAUUCCUCUGACGCGGAAUCCCCAGACUGCUCUUCCCCCCUCCUGCGGGCUUUGGGACCUGGCCCCUCCUCCGGGCUCCCUGCACUUCCGCGCGCCUCUACAUUUGAACUAGGCGCGCGCGCCAACCCUCUAACUUUCCUUUUGACAGUUACACUACUCCCUUCACUGCGUCCCUCCCCUUCCGGGAGGGCGGCUGCUCUGACCCCCUCCUUUCUCUGCUGCUGGAGCUGCUUCCUCUGACACACUGGAAACUCCACCCCCUUCGCUGCACUCUGGUGGGAGGCUGGUCCUGACGCCCAGCUGCCACUUUGGGAUCCUCCGCUGGCACCCUGCUCCUGACACUUCCCCCCUGGGGCUCCCUGGCCUUGACCACCGGCGCCCCCUUCUGGGAAUCCUCUGAUUCGCUGGAAAGACUCAUGGAAUCUCUUGAGUCAUUGUCAUCCUCUUCCUCGCUGGCUUGGAAUUCCUCCCCAUCGCUCUCCAUCUCCUGCCUACCCUGUGCCUCUCUCCCUGAACCCCUGACAUCCAUCCCCCCUCGAAGCCCCCCCUUCCCCCCUCCCGCUGCUCGGGCGCAGGUUCCGGGAGCUUCGUUGUAGCGGGGGUAGAUGCUGGAUACAGUUCGUCGACGUCGAUCUCCUCUGCUUCCAGUUCAGUGUAGGAGUGCUCGAAGCCAGGGUCCUCCCCAACACCUCCAAACCCUUCCCUCCCCUGUUACUUCAGGCGAGCUGCUUGCCAAGGCCCCCGUCGCCACCCCCCCUCUGGUUGAUCGUCCCACCAAUACGAGCGGUCCGUGUCUACCCCGAGCACGAUCCCCUUGGAGGGCUCGGUGCGGCGUGGUCUCCUCUGCGGAGGAGAACCCCGGAAGGUGCUGCCUGAAAGUGUGGGGGUAAAAGCCAGUCGUCAAAAUACUCCUCUGGCAUGGGCCUGUGUGGGAAGAGUGCAUGGAACUCGUCCUUAAGAAACGGUUCCUCCAGAGCAUAAUCUGGCACCCAACUGUUGGCGCUGGCGGCGUACCUUCCCUGGCGAGGAGGUAUUCCACUCCCUCCUCCCCCCAUCUCGAGUCCAGAAUUUCCGUGACCUCGUUGAGUGUCGGGGUCCUCGGUGACUUCCCCCCCCCCCGGUGACUUCCUACGUGGGUCUGGUGCCGUCCCUGGCUCCUGAAAUCGGUGUGGGGCCUUGUAGGGUGUAAGCACCGACCUAUGAAAGACCGGGUGCAUUCGGGAAUCCUCUGGGAGGGUCAACCGAAGCUACGGGAUUGAUCCUGCCCUCAACUUGGUAUGGCCCUAGCUGUUUGUGUCCUAGCUUCUUCUUAGCUAACGACUUGGCCGGCACCGCCUGGGCUGCUAACCAUACCCAGUCCCCACCUGGAUGUCUUCUCCUGCCCUCCUGUGCCUGUCUGCCUGCACUUUGUAGGCGUGUUUAGCCAGUUCCAAGUGCCGUCGUAGCUCCUCGUGGACCUCCUGCAAUUCUGCUGCUAAAUGUUCCGCUCCCUGCGACUCCCCCUGUGUCGUUGUCUCCAACGCCGGGAAUGUUCUGGGAUGUCGCCCAUUGUUGGCGAAGACGGUGUCACCCCCGUUGACGCGUGCUUCGUGUUGUUGUAGGCAAACUCGGCCAUCGGUAAGUAGUCCACCCAAGUUGCCGGCUUCUGAUUGGCGUAACAGCGCAGGUACUGCUGCAUGAUGGCGUUGACCCUCUCCGCUUGGCCGUUGGUUUGCGGGUGUCUCGCCGACGCUAAGUUGAUCUUGACAUUCAGGAUGCCCAGGAGCUUCUGCCAGAAACUGGAACUGCGUGGGCGACCCCGGUCGGACAAAAUGGACCGUGGUAAGCCGUGCACCCGGAACACGUGGUCUAUGAAUAGCCUGGCGGUCUGCUCCGCUGUUGCCACCUUCGCGCAAGGAAUGAAAUGCGCCAUCUUGGUGAACAGAUCUACAACCACAAGCACCGCCGUCUUGCCCCUUGAACUGGGCAGAUCAGUGACAAAGUCCAGCGCCACCCUUUCCCCCGGCUGCUGUGGCUUCUCCAACGGUUCCUGCAAUCCCGCUGGCUUCUUGUGCAGUGGCUUGGACCUCUCACAUGUGUCACACCUGGCGGCGUAAUCCGCGACUUCUCCCCGCAUCUGGGGCCACCAAAAGUCCCUGGCUACUAAGUCCGCCGUCUUCUCCUUGCGUCGUGUAACUGCUGUAAAACCUUCGCUCGGAGAUCGUCUCCCGGGACGUAGAGAGCACCUUUGCGGGUCAGCAGGCCGUCGCGUAUCUGGAAUUCGCCGUCCUUUGCUGUCCCUCUUCGCACCUCCUCCAUCUGGGCUUGAGCAAGCGGAUCCGUCUGUAACGCGCGUCGUACCGCGUCCAGGUCCACGGCGGCAGAGCGCACGCCCACGCUUGCGGUGCAAAAAUGUGCCUGGCUGCCACUGGUGCCGCUUCCUCAAGAUACUGCGGUUUCCUGGAGAGCGCAUCCGCUAUGGCGUUGUUGUCUCCCGGGAUAUACUCUAUCCGGAAAUCGAAAUCCGCAAAGAACUCCGCCCAUCUCAUGUGCCUCUGGCUCUGGAGCUUCGCCGUGCGCCAAUACUCUAGGUUCUUGUGGUCCGUGCGGACCUGCACGGUGUGCUUGGCUCCGAUGAGGAAGUGCCGCCACGCCUUGAAAGCCGCGUGGAUGGCCACCAACUCCCUGUCCCAGAUGGUGUAGUUCUGUUCCGACUUGCUGAGCUUCCGGGAAUAGAAAGCGCAGGGCCUCCAGUUCUCUUGCGAAUCUUCCUGCAAGAGGACGGCCCCCACUGCUCUGUCAGAUGCGUCAGUCUCAGCCCGCAUGGGCCUGCCGGGAUUCACGUGUAGCAGCUGGUCUUCGGACGCGAAGAGACUCUUAAGUCUCCUGAAGGACUGCUCCGCCUGGUCCGUCCAGGUGAACUUUUUCUUCUUGGAACUGAGGGUGUCCGUGAUAGCUGCCGUCUCUUUCGCGAAACCCCUGAUGAACUUGCGGUAAAAGUUGGCGAAGCCGGCAGACCUCUGGACCUCCUUCCGAUUGCGCGGGCUAUUCCAGUCCAACACCGCGCGGACCUUGGCGCUGUCCAUGGCUAAUCCCUUGUCGGACAGCCGGUAGCCCAGGAAAUCCACCUCCGUCACGUCGAACUGGCACUUCUCCAGCUUGGCAUAGAGUCUGUGCUCCCGUAGCCUCUGCAAGACCUCCUUUACGUCUCUUUCGUGAGUCUCCUGCGAUUCUGAGAAGAUCAGAAUAUCGUCGAGAAAGCAUACGCACUUCUUGUAGAGGAGUCCUGCUAGCACGUGGUGCAUGAAUGCUUGAAAGCAGUGGGAGCCACCUUGGAGACCAAUCGGCAUAACUCUGUAUUCAUAGGUGCCCAGCGGCGUGAACAUGGCCGUCUUCCACUCGUCACCUUCCCUCAUGCGUAUGAGAUUGUAGGCUCCGCGUAGAUCCAACUUGGUGAAGAUCCUCCCCUUCCUCACCGUCGCGAGCAGGUCGUCAAUCUUGGGCAUGGGGAAAGCCUUGGGUUUUGUCAUCGAGUUUAUGGCCCUAUAGUCCACAAUGAGCCGUUUUUGGGGCGUGUCCUUCUUCUUCACGAAAAACACAGGACUGCCCCCACUGCCUUGGAUUCUCGGAUGAAUCCCUCUUCAAAUUGUGAUCUAUGAACUCCCUGAGCUCCUGCAUCUCAUCUUCAGACAUGGAAUACAGCUUCGCAGUCGGCAGCGUCGCCCCUGGUAAGAGGUCAAUUGCACAGUCGUAGGGCCGGUGGGGUGGUAAUUGGUCAGCUUCCUUCUCGCAGAAGACCUCCAAAACCCCUUGUACUUGUGGGGCACUGCCUGCACCAUGCCUAGAUGCAGCUGUUGCCCUUCCUCCUGUUCCCUCCUCGUCCUGGCCGAUCUGGAUGCAAUGUUGUGCACAGUAGGACAGAGCCAAAGGUGAGCUGCCGCUGGUACCACGCCAAGGAUGGGCUGUGUCUAUCCAGCCAACUCAUGCCUAACACUAUGGGCGUGUCUGACAGUUGGGUGACAUUGAAACUGAUGACCUCGCGAUGAUUCCCAAUUUUCAGCAGCAUGGGUGGCGUCUGUUGUACCACUUGCCCACCCAGCAACUUCCUGCCAUCUACAGUGACCACAUUCAGAGGCAGCGUGGCUGGUAGUAAGGCUAUGCGAUGCUGCUUGACGAACUGCACCCCCACGAAGUCUGCGUUGCUCCCUGAGUCAAUCGUAAUGGGGACUUCCAGGGUGAGUCCAUUAGGCAGCUGGAGAGUAGCAGUGAGCUGCACCACUGGCUUAGGUGGUAAGGGGUCUGUAGGCUGCAAAGCGCUGGGGACUGCUUCACUGACUUGCCUGGCGGAGCCCCAGCGUCUCUCCCUCCAACCAGGCAUUCUCGUUUCCCUGAAACUGCUCCCCUUGGAAGCUUCCCCUGUUACUGUUGCUAAGGCUGCAGUGUGCUUCUGGAGCCUCUGGGGACACUCUUUAGCCAUGUGCCGUGCACUGUCACAGAUGUAACACUUCCUGGUCCCUCUAGGAGGCUUCGCUUUGACUGCUCCUGACGCUGAGGCUCCGGCAGCUGUCUGAGCCUUUGCACCACCCAGUUCCAUCGGUUCUUCCCCCGCUGCCAGCACAGGCGAAGGCUUGAACGUUCCAAGUCCCUGGAAGGAAAAGGAGGCGCUCUAGCUGGUGGGCGGACGUGACGCCCCUCCUCCCUGUGCCAAGGGCGUUCUUCUUGGCGCACCCCUAUCGUGAGUGCCCUCUGCACGACUUCUGCUAGGGUUUGAGGUCUGUCUCCCCUAGCCAGCUCAUCUUUCACUGAGCCAUGAAGCCCUUCCCAAAACAAGUCCCUCACUGCCAGGGAGUCCUUUUCCCAGCCCAGCACAUUCAGCAAUGCAAAAAGCGAGAAUGGUACUGACGCACUGUAGCCUUGCCCUGCCGCAAUCCAUGCAUCUCCUGGCGUGCCACAUCAACGUCAACAGUAGAUUGGAAGCAAGCGUCCAUGGCUUUGAGAAAUUCAUCAGAGUCCCUGCGUGCAAGACCAUCUUCGCGCCACAAAUUGCGUAACCAGUUUCUUGCUUCCCCAUGCAGAUGAGACACGAUAAACCCCACUUUUCCUCCUCAUCUUUGAAGUCUUUUCGAAGUAAAUGCAGUGCGUAUACGACGUCUGCUCUGAAAUUGGGAUAAUGCUUCAGGUUCCCAUCGAAGUGGGCUACUAAAUUGCCCCCCCUCCGUCCGAGUCCGAUUCCCUCUGAUCUGGAACCCGGGAACCCCUCUCUGCACGCCCGAUCCCACCUGGCUUGCAGAUCCUGGCAUCGCGCUUCUGCUUCAGCAACUGUCUUCUGAGAAACCACGACAGCAGUGGAGAGCUCGGUGACUGCGUUUUGCAGGGACGCUAUCUGCUCCUCAGUAGUCAUUGCUGCCAAACUUCGUGAGCUGUGCAAAAAAAAAUUUUGCGGUUUUUUUUGUGGAGAAGGGGACUUACUGUCAAGGCUGCCUCAAGUCUUAGCUCACAAAAGACCAACGCCUCUGUCUUCUUAUAUACAAAAGUGUUUAUUGCAGUUCAUGGUUUGCUUGACAUCCUAGGCGCGCAGCCUUACGUCUCUUACGCUAGACCGCCGAAGUCCCCUCUGAGUCAGUUCCUCCCCUGCACCAAUUUAAGAGACUUGCGCUGCUCCACCUCUUUCUCUCCUUCCUUUUCCGCAGGGUCCUUCUGCCCACUGGGGUUUCGCCCCUCCUGGAUUCCUCUGACGCGGAAUCCCCAGACUGCUCUUCCCCCAUCCUGCGGGCUUUGGGACCUGGCCCCUCCUCCGGGCUCCCUGCACUUCCGCGCGCCUCUACAUUUGAACUAGGCGCGCGCGCCAAACCUCUAACUGUCCUUUUGACAGUUACACUACUCCCUUCACUGCUCCCCUCCCCUUCCGGGAGGGCGGCUUGCUCGGACCCCCCUCCUUUCUCUGCUGCUGGAGCUGCUUCCUCUGACACACUGGAAACUCCACCCCCUUCGCUGCACUCUGGUGGGGAGGCUGGUCCUGACGCCCAGCUGCCACUUUGGGAUCCUCCGCUGGCACCCUGCUCCUGACACUUCCCCCCUGGGGCUCCCUGGCCUUGACCACCGGCGCCCCCUUCUGGGAAUCCUCUGAUUCGCUGGAAAGACUCAUGGAAUCUCUUGAGUCAUUGUCAUCCUCUUCCUCGCUGGCUUGGAAUUCCUCCCCAUCGCUCUCCAUCUCCUGCCUACCCUGUGCCUCUCUCCCUGAACCCCUGACAGCAAUAAACUAAAAAAGAACUUUUUGUGGUUUACAAUACUCAUUAAGGUGAACUUUCUGGGGCACAUCUCCUGCUGUGAAUGAAUGCUGAAUCUCUGUGCAAACUGGGGUGCCCCAUGGCUGACACUCUGCAGCAUCCUACAGUGAAGAAUGGAAGGUCACUGGGGCAGCCAACAGCCAGAGAGUGCUUUAGAAAAUUCAGUGGGCCAAAAGCAGGCACCUGUGUGAGCUCAAAUGUACAUAUGAUGAUGAAGGACUAUGUGAGUGGAUGGAGGAAGUUGAUUUUUGCUUGCAUUGUAGCAAAAAGCUACCUAAUUCACACUUCUCAAACCAAUAUGCAAACUAAACCACACCUUUUUUGAAAUUUGCAUCUCUUUGAAUUUUGCAAUGUCGUUCUACAGCUAAAUGGUACAAAAAUACAUAAAUUUGGAGGGAGUGUGCAUGAAAAUGCAUAUAUUUCUUCUGGACAGCAAUAAUACAAGAAAUCUGCAAAAUAACUAAGCAAGUAUUAGAAGUCACCCCAGAACUGGCCCUACUAAAUAUCUUCCAAGACAAUAAUGCCCACUCACAACACAAAGAGCUCAUAAUUCACCUACUCUCAGCAGCCAGAAGCACCAUAGCCAGACACUGGAGAGACCUGUCAGGAGUAAGCAUAGACCAAAGGUAUCAAAUAGUAUGGGAAACAGCCCUACUAGAAAAACCAACUAACAAACUGAAACUGACAUGGGGACAAAUAGAAGAUGCCUUCACCCCCGUAUGGCUCCCCUUUAUCACAUACGCAGCCCAACAAGACAACGACAAGAAUCCAUCAACAGCAUACAAAUCAAUCUGGCUAGCCUGAUUAAAAAAUACACAUUCACACCCCACUCACACACAAAAACAAUUCUCACUACAGCCAACCAAAGACAACCAACCACCCCACCCCGAACCUCUCUCACCACCAAGGAAAUACAACAAGUGAAUAGUAAGAGAACCCAUACAAGUGAUGCUGACACAACACACCCCCCCAAAGGAAUAAUAGAAGCAUAACGACCCUCCACCCUCCCCCUCCCCUCCUCCCUUUCUUCUUCUUCUUCCUAAUUGUUUAAACCAAUUCAUGAACCAAUAACUUAUACAUUGACCACCAAUAAUGAAAUAUAUGUUGUAGAUAUUUUUCCACAUUUAUUAUGCUAUUUUUGUGAUAUACAUAUGAUAUGAGAAAAUUUGGUAUACUUAUUUGUAUAACAUUAUUCUUGUUUAUAAAACCCAAUAAAUAAAUAAAAAUGCAGACAUAUUAGAUCUGGAAGGCCAAGAUUUAAAAUUUGGCUGGCAUGCAUGCCUUUGGUAUGCAUUUUAUGAACCACAUUAUUAGGAAGAAUUUGUACAGAGUCUGGGAGAAAUAAAAAAAUCUGUUAGAAAAGAAAACACCCUUAUGACUAUCUCCCAUUGAAGCAAUUACAAUCAAGAGAGUAGAUUUGGAUAGACAAUGGGCAACUUACAGGGAUUUGCUGGACUUUACGGGGGGGGGAGGACCCAGAGUGAAACCUAUGGAAGAAGAAGAAGAAGAAGAAGAAGAAGAAGAGGAGGAGGAGGAGGAGGAGGAGGAGGAGGAGGAGGAGGAGUUUGGAUUUGAUAUCCCGCUUUAUCACUACCCAAAGGAGUCUCAAAGCGGCUAACAAUCUCCUUUCCCUUCCUCCCCCACAUCAAACACUCUGUGAGGUGAGUGGGGCUGAGAGAAAUCAAAGAAAUGUGACUAGCCCAAGGUCACCCAGCAGCUGCAUGUGAAGGAGCGAGGAAUCGAACCCGGUUCCCCAGAUUACGAGUCCACCGCUCUUAACCACUACACCACACUUCUGCCAGGUCUUAACCAUGAUAAUCCACUGGGUGAGAUGCCCUGCCUCCACCCCUCACUCAGCAAAUAAUUAUUCUUGCUCAACCUGCCCUUGUUCCACCUCAUUAACACAUCAGGGAAGGGGGUAGUACUUUUCUGAAAACCUAAAGUUGGAACUUAAUAUGCCAUGUUUCACACCCCCACACCCCAAUGUUUCAUCUACACUGCAACUCCUCCAAAAGCCUUUACACCUACUGGACAUAUCAGCACCUUUGCCAGGGGAUGCAGCUGCAAAGGUUUGUAGUCACAUCAGUAGGGAUGCCUACACAGCGUCCCCUUCAUGUUUGGUACUUGGGACAAAUAUCCCACCUGCCCCAUGGGCAAGCUGUACUGCACGUUCCCUGUCCUCAUUUUCUAAGCAUAUGGAUCCCCACCAGCCCCUCCUCCAGUUCCCCUGAUGCUUACAUUCUAUGGCCCACCUCCCUCUCUCAGGAUUUCUGCUCAGUGCUGGUCGAAUGAGUAUUAAUAAACAGCUUUGGAAUGAGUCACCUUCCUCCCCACUCCCACCAGGCAAUUAACUCCAGAUCUGCAGAUAACGAGCUCUACGGGGCUGUCAUUGCCCAAGUACAAAAGGCUCUGCUGUGUUCGCGUCAGAUAAACCCCCCUAAGCCUCUGUGGCAGUAUUAAAAAUCCUGGGUUUUGAAUUAGGCAGGCAAGUGAUGGGCAGAAAAGGUGGAACAGGGACUGCAUGAGGCAGCCCUUGUAUUUUCUGAGAAAAGUGUCUGAACUUCCCGGAAUUAUUUCCUUCCUAUCCUCAUCUGACUUCCAUUAGCAGAUUCCUAAGGGGCCCAGCCAUCACCCUGUGUUACUGUUUGGGGGCCUCUAUACCAUUGCAGCUCUGAUAAAGCAAGGACUAAAGGCCAAGAAGCAGUUGGCUAGUUCAAUCCAGUAUGGGAAAUUCAGUCUCACUGCUGCUUUGGUCUCCCUGACCCACAAGCACACAGCCAGCCCACCAACCUCCUUUCCCUAUCUGCUGCCCUCCAGCCAACAGCACAAUGCUCUUCCCUGUUCCCCUAGGCUGCCUCCAGUACCUCUUUUUGUCUCCUGCAUCUUUCAGCUUGCAAUCUCUUGCAGUCCUCUUUGUCAUCGCUUAUUCAUUUAAGAGUUUUUCCUAGUCAAACCUGGCCUUCACUGCUGGCUUUAUGAUGAAGUAAUGCGGAGCAGCUGAGUUCAGUUCAGUUCAAUUUUAAGCAGCAUCUUCAGGCAACGACUGCGGGAGAAGGAGGCCUUAUAUUUUCCUGCCUCUAAUUGCUCCGCAUGUGUGGCAUUUUAGCAGCAAAGCUCCAGGCGAGAGUACUAGCUCAUUUUGACUUGGUUGCUUCUGGUCUUGAAAUUUGUAAGGCGAAUUACUGCUUUCUUCCCUUGCAGUAAUUGUACUUUUGUCAACAUGCUGUUAUACCGAAGGUUUUCCCUCGGAUCAGUUAGAAUUGCCCUGAACAUUCCAUGACAUCACAGCAGUGCAGCCAAUGACUUUGGGAGAACAGAACUGCCAAUCACGUGUUUUUAGCAUGUGUCAUGCGUAGGAAACGGGACACCCCCUUCUGCCAAGACUCUCACAAUGACGCAGGAGGAAAGGCAGCUGUGCCAUCUGUUUUCCUUCCCCGCCUGCAGGCUGGCAUAGCUGGAGACCUGGGACGCUUUCAGAUUGUGGCAAUAUGGGGUAGGGUUCAAUCACAUACCCACAAAUUCAGGUUCCACAGUUAAAACCAAUUUUGGCAUUUCUGUGCAACAAACCUGCUUCCCACCCACCCCAACUUUUUGCAAAUAUCAGGAUGGCUGCUCCAUCUGGACCUGGACCACAGCUGCUACAAAAGCCUGGGGGGACCUGGAACCCCCCUAAAAAAGCCAGCCAGACCCUAAUGCACCCCUUUCUCCUACACAGCCCCCCACCUUACUUUCCUCUCUACUAUACCCCACCCAGCUACACAGGCCCCCAACAGCCCCUAGAAACAUGUAGUGAGACACGGCUACCUUUCUCCCCCCAUGACCUCGAACUUACCACAGUGGGUUUUGUUCCCCUUCCUCACAGUUUCCUUCCCUCGCUAUCCAGCUCUUGUUUAAACUCUUUCCUGCACACACACCCCAUUACCUGCCCGGCCCCCAUCUCUGCCCUGACAAUGCUGCAGCUGGAAGAGGGCAGUGGCCCUGAGCGGCUGCAGCCCACCCUGGCAACACGAGGACGUGCCUGCCGCCAUGUACCCAGCGGGCAAGCCGAACCAGCACCACCACCUCAACCCCCUCGGGCAAGGUGAUCACGCCAGCAGCUCCCAAACAUCCAGCUACAGACCCUUUCUCACUGCUGCUGUGACUGAGCCACCCGUGGGAAGCCCCUGGCAUGCUAGGGGCAGCUAGGCUGCUGCAUUGCCUUCCUCCCUCCCUCCCCCCUCCUCCCUCUCCCUCCCCUCCCCCCCGCCAAGGGAAGUGACCUCUUGUCACUUCCACUGCCACCAGGACACCGCCUCCCCUAGAAAAAUAAAAAACCAGGGGGAAAACAGAAAACUGAAAAAACCCAGGUCACCAUAUGUUUAGGAAAUACAGGAUAUCUCUUAACAUUAAAAACUCCCUGUCCCACCCCCACCCCAGACACCAUUUUAGGCGUCCAAUUUCUGUACAUGUCCAGAAUUUCCCAGAUGUAUAAGAGCUAUUUUGAUAAUCAUUAGCUCCAUGACCUGUAUAAACUGUGUUUUGGAGGAAAUUGGUACUUUGGAAUGUUCACCACUUCCUGCAAUAUAUCCCUGUGUUGUGGGUGACCAACAGAUGAACCCCACAAGCCCUGAAAGAGGCCGAGGCCACAUCCACACCAUAAUACGGUACCACCUUAAAGAGUCAUGGUUGUAGUUGAUGGAGGGUGCUGAGAGCUGUUAGGAGAUCCCUAUUAUCCUCUUAGAGCUGCAGUUUACAGAGCAGUUUAGCAGUCAAUCCCACUUCACAGUGAACUCUGCAACUUGUAGCUCUAUGAGGAAAACUCAGCACUCUUAACAAACUGCACUUCACAGGGUUCUUGGGGUGGGGAAGCCACCCCUGUUUAAAGUGGCCUCGUUGUGCUUUCAAUGUGCUGUGUGAAUGUGGCCGGAUACUUCAAGGUCAGAAGGCUAAAGACCCACCACCUAUUACCCAGUGGACUUUCCACUUUUGAACACCUAUCUUAAAAUCAGCAAUCUCAUUGGGAUACUUAUUUGGACAGAUUAACUUCUUGUAUUGAUAUAUUUGCUUGUUAGGUUUGAUGAAUUGUUCUCUUUUUGAACAGAUUAUUUGUACUGUUAAUGGGGACUGCUGAUGCUUAUGGGAUGGUGCCCUCCCUCCACCCCUUCCUUUUUCUUGUACAGUGGUGCCUCGCAAGACGAAAUUAAUUCGUUCCGCGAGUUUUUUCGUCUUGCGGUGUUUUUCGUCUUGCGAAGCACGGUGUCGGAAAAGUUUUGGAAAAGCUUCAAAAAUCACCAAAGUCUUCAAAAACCUCAAAAAAGGCUACCACACCGCGUGCUAUGAGUUGCUCCUCGAAGUCAAGUCGCAACUGUAUUAACGGUUUUAAGAAAAAGGAAACAAACUUGCAAGACGUUUCCGUCUUGCGAAGCAAGCCCAUAGCGAAAAUCGUCUUGAAAAAGCAACUCAGAAAACCAAAAACCCUUUCGUUUUGCGAGUUUUCCGUCUUGCGAGGCAUUCGUCUUGCGAGGUACCACUGUAAUUGCAAUUUUAAAAAGUAAAAGCCAUGGUUUUGCCCAUCAGCUGGCAACUCUGAGAGCACCCAUUUGCCUGCACUAAGAAACAUCUGCACGCAGAGGCUUAUUAGGCUGGUCCUGAAUCUUUAAUGAUUGCUCUACCUGCAGCUGUGCCACUCCAGCUGAAAACCCUUCUCCCUUUUCACAGCUUUUAAACAUGCAGGAGCACCUUGGCUACCCUGAGGCGCACGUAUCACAAACUGGCACACUCUGCCCUUUCUUACACAAUCCCAGUCUCGUGCCUUCAUGCACACAGCAGCACUAGGCAACAGCAUCUAGGGAACAGCCUUUGGUCCCUGGCUGGGAGCAGCUCUUCAAAGUUUCAGGCAGGGAGUCUGGGGCAGCUCUGCUGCGGUGCGACAGCAGCCUUCCUCCCCUUGUUCACAGUCUGCUCUCAUCUCGCAGUCCUGUGCCUGCCCUUUCUCUCUCUCUCUCUCUCUCUCUCUCUCACACACACACACACACACACACACACACCUCCCAUCAUUCCACUUUGGGCAAACAGAUUAAUGGAACAAUAUCAUGCUGUCUGGAAAAAGGAUAAUGUAAUGAAAAAGGAUUCACUGGUGCCAUUACUAAAACAGCAAUCUCUUCCAGGAGGCUCCCCUGCUGAGAAAAUUAGUAGCUUCUUAAUUAAUUUGAAAUUAUAUUGGUCAUUAAUACAUCAUUAUAUUUGCACUUGCUAUGCUCCUGGCACCGGAAUCAAGUCAGCAAACCAGAACCCAGCAGCACUGAUGACACAGACAGGGAUGGUUGGGCAAUAGCUGAGGCCCAUGCUCUGGAAGGAGAGUCCCUUGCCCCACCAAGAGCCCCCCUAGGUUGGAUGCUGCUCAUCCCCAGUCUUGCCUCCUGGCCCAGAUGGGGCUGCUGGGCAACAUCAGCCAAGGACACAGGAAGCUGCCUUUUACUGAGUCACAGGAAAAUGGAUGAAAUGCAAGAGCUAGAACUUUACAGCAUUCCAGAUUCUACAAGUCUAGGACUUUUGUGUUUUUUAAAGACACUGGCUGCUAUAGUGCCAUGGGGGGUGGGGGAUCAGGUUCCACAGGUUCCUUCCAGCUUGUCAACCUCAGAUUCAUUAUUCCCGCCCCCCGCCUCCCCAAUCACUAGAAUCAGGCUCAAAACCAGGAACCUGGCUCAGUUCCUUUCCUAGUGACAUUGUAACAUCUGAUUCAGUGCCCACGUCAGGGCUAGACUCAGGUGGUUCGCAAUUUAACGGAACCACCUUUACCACCGGGGCCUUGUAAAGACCCCAAGAUCUCCUGCAACGAUUUUGCAAAGUUUUUUGCAGAUAAAGUCGCUCAUAUUCAAAAGAAGGUAGACACCACUGUGGGAGCAGGGCCGGGGGGGCAGAGUGCUAGAGCCCUGUCUAGUCAAGUUGCAUGGAAUCAAUUCCAAUCCGUUAUCCCCAAGGAUGUGGACAGGCUGCUUGGAUGCGUGAAACCAACCACCUGUCUCCUUGAUCCUUGCCCAUCCUGGCUGAUAAAAGCAAGCCGGGAAGGGCUGGGUGAUGGGCUCUGCGGGGUGGUGAAUGCUUCCCUCUGCGAGGGAGACAUCCCAGACGUGCUGAAAGAGGCGGUCAUUAAACAGCUUCUUAAAAAACAUCUUUAGACCCGGCCAAUAUGGCCAACUAUCGUCCAGUCUCAAAUCUACCAUUCUUGGGCAAGGUGAUUGAGCAGGUGGUUGCUGAACAACUCCAGGCACGCCUGGAGGAUGCAGACCAUUUGGAUCCCUUCCAGUCAGUAUUCAGGCCUGAUCAUGGGACUCAAACUGCCUUGUUGCGCUGGUUGAUUAUCUCCGGUGGGCUAGGGACAAAGGUGAGAGCUGUUUCUUAGUUCUGCUGGAUCUCCCAGCGGCCUUUGAUACAAUUGACCAUAGCAUCCUUCUGGACUGUCUAAAGGGGCUGGGAGCUGGGGGCACUGUUAUACAGUGGUUCCGCUCCUUCCUCCUGGGCCGUGUUCAGAGAGUGGUGGUGGGGGAUGAGUGUUCUGACCCCUGGGCCCUCACUUGUGGGGUGCCUCAGGGUUCCAUCCUCUCUCCCAUGCUUUUUAACAUCUACAUGCAGCCACUGGAAGAGAUCAUCAGGGGGUUUGGACUGGGUGUCCAACAAUAUGCAGAUGCUACCCAGCUCUACCUCUCUUUCAAAUCAGAACCAGUGAAGGCGGUGAAGGUCCUGUGUGAGUGCCUGGAGGCAGUUGGAGGAUGGAUGGCGGCUAAUGGAUUGAGGUUGAAUCCUGACAAGACAGAAGUACUGUUCUUGGGGGACAGAGGGCAGGCUGGUGUGGAGGACUCCCUGAUCCUGAAUGGGGUAACUGUGCCCCUGUGAUCUCAGAACCACUGGCAGUCAUCUUUGAGAAUUCCUGGAGAACAGGCGAAGUCCCAGCAGACUGGAGGAGGGCAAAUGUUGUCCCUAUUUUCAAAAAGGGGAAAAGAGAGGACCCAAAUAAUUACCGCCCAGUCAGUCUGACAUCAAUACCAGGGAAGAUUCUGGAGCAGAUCAUUAAGCAAACAGUCUGUGAGCACCUAGAAAGGAAUGCUGUGAUCACCAAUAGUCAGCAUGGAUUUCUGAAAAAUAAGUCAUGUCAGACUAACCUGAUCUCGUUUUUGACAGAAUUACAAGCCUGGUAGAUGAAGGGAACGCAGUGGAUGUAGCCUACCUUGAUUUCAGCAAGGCAUUUGACAAGGUGCCCCAUGAUAUUCUUGUAAAGAAGCUGGUAAAAUGCGGUCUUGACUAUGCUACCACUCAGUGGAUUUGUAACUGGCUGACUGACCGAACCCAAAGGGUGCUCAUCAAUGGUUCCUCUUCAUCCUGGAGAAGAGUGACUAGUGGGGUGCCACAGGGUUCUGUCUUGGGCCCGGUCUUAUUCAACAUCUUUAUCAACGACUUGGAUGAUGGACUCAAGGGCAUCCUGAUCAAAUUUGCAGAUGACACCAAACUGGGAUGGGUGCCUAACACCCCAGAGGACAGGAUCACACUUCAAAACGACCUUGACAGAUUAGAGAACUGGGCCAAAACAAACAAGAUGAAUUUUAACAGGGAGAAAUGUAAAGUAUUGCACUUGGGCAAAAAAAUGAGAGGCACAAAUACAAGAUGGGGACACCUGACUUGAGAGCAGUACAUGUGAAAAGGAUCUAGGAGUCUUGGUUGACCACAAACUUGACAUGAGCCAACAGUGAGCGGCAGCUAAAAAGCCAAUGCAAUUCUGGGCUGCAUCAAUAGAGUAUAGCAUCUAGAUCAAGGGAAGUAAUAGUGCCACUGUAUUCUGCUCUGGUCAGACCUCACCUGGAGUACUGUGUCCAGUUCUGGGCACCACAGUUCAAGAAGGACACUGACAAACUGGAACGUGUCCAGAGGAGGGCAACCAAAAUGGUCAAAGGCCUGGAAACGAUGCCUUAUGAGGAACGGCUAAGGGAGCUGGGCAUGUUUAGCCUGGAGAAGAGGAGGUUAAGGGGUGAUAUGAUAGCCAUGUUCAAAUAUAUAAAAGGAUGUCACAUAGAGGAGGGAGAAAGGUUGUUUUCUGCUGCUCCAGAGAAGCGGACACGGAGCAAUGGAUCCAAACUACAAGAAAGAAGAUUCCACCUAAACCUUAGGAAGAACUUCCUGACAGUAAGAGCUGUUCGACAGUGGAAUUUGCUGCCAAGGAGUGUGGUGAAGUCUCCUUCUUUGGAAGUCUUUAAGCAGAGGCUUGACAACCAUAUGUCAGGAGUGCUCUGAUGGUGUUUCCUGCUUGGCAGGGGGUUGGACUUGAUGGCCCUUGUGGUCUCUUCCAACUCUAUGAUUCUAUGAUUCUAUGAUUCUAAACCUUGAGAGACUAUUUUGAAAUAAAUAUGAAUACUAAUGUAGAAAAAAGAGUAAUCUGGGGCGCAAGUAAAGCUGUUAUGAGAGGGUUUCUGAUACAACAGAAUGCAAUAAAGAAGAGAAGUCAAAAUGAGAAGAAAGAUAAAAUUUUGGGGAAAAUAAAAGAAAGUGAAAAGAAAUUGAGAGCAAAACCAAAGUCGCAGGAGAUUUUGAGAGAAAUAAAGUUAUAUCAAGUACAAUAUAUGGAAAUGAUGAAUCAAGAAAUAGAAUGGAAAAUUAAACAAAUGAGACAAAAAACAUUUGAAUCAGCCAACAAAUGUGGGAAAUUGCUGGCCUGGCAAAUGAAAAAAAGACAAAAACUAAAUACUAUUACAAAUUUAGAAGUGGAAGGAAAGAAUAUACAUAACCCAACUGAGAUUAGAAAUUGUUUCCAGAGGUAUUUUAAACAACUAUAUACACAAGGGCCACAGAAGGAAAUGGAUAUAGACCGAUUUCUGAAGACAAAUGGAUUACAAAAAAUAUCCCAAGAAAGUAAAUUAAUGCUGAAUUACAAAAUAUCUGAACAGGAAGUAGAAGGUGCCAUUCAAAACAUGCAAUUAGGCAAAUCUCCAGGACCGGAUGGGCUGACUUCUAGAUAUUAUAGAUCUUUGAAAGAGUGGCUAUUACAACCUUUAAAGGAAGUCUGCAAUGAAAUAUUGGAAGGGAAAAGAGCACCAGAGUCUUGGAAAGAGGCGUACAUUACACUUAUACCGAAGACAGAGACUGAAAAGACUCAGCUUAAGAACUACCGCCCCAUAUCCUUACUCAAUGUGGAUUACAAAAUUUUUGCAGACAUUUUGGCCAAGAGAUUGAAAAAAGUAUUGAUGGAAGAGAUUCAUAAAGAUCAAGUGGGCUUUCUCCCGGGAAGACACUUGUCCAAUAAUUUGAGGAAUAUAAUUGAUAUUUUGGAAAAACUAGAAGUGAACAUAAAUACCAAAGCUGUUUUGAUAUUUGUGGACGCGGAGAAAGCUUUUGAUAAUAUCUCUUGGAGUUUUAUGAAGAAGAACCUACAGGGGAUGGGGGUAGGCCAAGGUUUUGAAAACGGUAUAAGUGCAAUUUAUUCAGAGCAAAAGGCUAAACUAAUUGUAAAUAAUGUGGUGACGGAAGAAUUUAAGAUAGAAAAAGGGACAAGACAAGGUUGCCCAUUUUCCCCAUUGCUUUUUAUAUCGGUCCUGGAGGUUCUGCUGAACAUGAUUAGAAGGGACCGGUUGGUUAAAGGUAUACAGGUCGGAGCCAAACAGUACAAACUGAGAGCAUUUGCAGAUGACUUAGUAUUGACGUUACAGGAGCCAGAAUCUAGUACCAAAAGAGUUUUAGAACUGAUUCAAGAAUUUGGUCAAGUUGCAGGAUUUAAGUUGAAUAAGUUAAAGACCAAGGUUUUAGAGAAAACUUUAACACCAAUGGAGAGAGAGAGGUUUCAGAAUGAGACAGGUUUAACAGUGGUUAAGAAAGUUAAAUAUUUGGGGAUUAACAUGACAGCAAAAAAUGGGAACUUAUUUAAAGACAACUAUGAAAAAUGCUAGGCUGAAGUGAAAAAAGAUUUGGAAAUUUGGUCAAAUUUGAAGCUUUCACUGCUGGGCCGUAUUGCUGCGGUAAAAAUGAAUGUAUUGCCUAGAAUGUUGUUUUUGUUUCAAACAUUGCAAAUUGUGGACAAAAUGGAUUGUUUCAAGAGGUGGCAGAGAGAUAUUUCUAGAUUUGUCUGGCAGGGCAAGAAGCCUAGAAUAAAAUUUAAAAUAUUAACAGAUGCAAAGGAAAGAGGUGGAUUUGCCCUGCCAGACUUUAAACUUUACUAUGAAUCAGCAGCUUUCUGCUGGUUGAAAGAAUGGUUGCUUCUUGAAAACACUGACAUUUUGGAUUUAGAAGGUUUUAACAAUGUAUUUGGAUGGCAUGCAUAUCUGUGGUAUGAUAAGGUCAAAGCACACAAAGCAUUUAAAAAUCACAUCGUCAGGAAAGCAUUGUUUAAUGUCUGGAUAAGAUACAAGGACUUAUUGGAAAAUAAAACUCCAAGGUGGUUGUCACCGAUGGAAGCAAAAGCUCUGAAAAAGCUCAAUAUGGAGGCCAAAUGGCCGAAAUAUUGGGAAAUUUUGGUUUCUAGCUGUAAUGCUUUAAGGGAAUAUGAAAAAGGGGUUAUUAAGAGGUAAAAAUCUAAUGUUAUUAUUUUAAGACCAAAGAUUAGGAUAAACAAAGAGGGUAAGGAUUUGCUGAACCAACAAACUGAACUGGAAUACAAAAAAGGGAGGUAUGAGGAGGUCCGGGAAACAAACUAAAGAAAAAUAAGCAAUGGAAAAUCUGAGUGUUUUUAAUCAUUUUUAUUUUGUAUUUUUUUUCUUUUUCAUUUUUUAUUGUAAUAUUUUUAAAAAAUCUAAUAAAUAUCUUAUAAAAAAUAAUAAUAAUGUGUGACAUUUUAGUGUAUUUUUGGGUCUUUGUUGGAAGCUGCCCAGAGUGGCUGGGGAAACCCAGCCAGAUGGGUGAGGUAUUAUUAACAACAACAAUAAUAAUAAUAAAUAUUUAAAUUAUGUUUCUGAGGAUUUGGGCUUAACUCUGUGCUUUCUCAUCAGAAAAUAGCUUCUGGUUCCAUGUUUGCAUUAUGUAUUACUGCUUUUGCUUCCACUCAAGCCAGAGGCUCCACCACCUACCAUGAGUCUGCUUCUCCAUCUUGGAGUCAACUUAAACCCUGAAGUAGCUAAGGACUGAAAAUCAGCCUCUGUAAAUUAAUGAAGAAUUUCCCAAAGAGGAGAUGUUGUAUUAAUGGGUGACUUCAACUACCCUCAUUGUAAAUGAACGCUUUAAAUGAAAAUUUAUUAUUAUGCAUUGCAACAGACUGAAUAUUACGUUGAAUAGAAAAUUCUUAAACCUGGAUAGUUCCAUCAGUAAAGCAUGAGACUCUCUUCUCAGGGUCAUGGGUCUGAGCCCCCAAUUGGGCAAAAAUAUUCCUUCCUUGCAGGGGAUUGGAUCAGAUCACCCUUCUGGUCCUUUUCAACUCUACAAUUCUACAAUCUGCUAUUCUACUUGUGGAAUGUAUUAUAAUUUUUAAAAUGUAAUUUGAAUCCUGAAGCACUGUUCAUGGGGGGAGGGAGUAAUCUAUGUUUAUAGUUACUUUUGUAAUACAGUUUAUUAAAAAAAACUCACUACCCUCAUGUAGACAUAUGUGUUCCAGUCAUGACAAAGAGAUUACAUUUCUAGAUACACUAAAUGACUGUGCACUAGAACAGUUGGUCUUGGAAAGACCAUAUUUUUCCAGCAAAUCUAAUCUGUAAUAGGAAGCUCUUUAUAUAGUCGUACCUUAGUUUUCGAACAGCCUAGUUCUCAAACAUUUUGGCUCCUGAACAAUCAAACCCCAGAAGUGACUGUUCCAGUUAUCGAACGUUCUUUUGGAAGCCGAACAUCUGACGGGACUUCUGCAGCUUCCGAUUGGCUGCAGGAGCUUCCUGCAGCCAAUCAGAAGCUGAGCUUUGGUUUUCGAAGGCUUUGGAAGUCAAACGGACUUCGAGAAUGGAUUCUGUUCAACUUCCAAGGUACGACUGUAUUUCUUCCUGUCCAGGAGAAACCAAAGGACAGCCUGGGGGUGGGUGAAGUCAAUCCAGGCUGGGUUGAAGGUACUUCAUAGAGAAGGUUGCCUUCUGCCCCUGAACAGCUCAUCCCACAUGGCAGCUGCUCAUCAUCAGCAAGGCCUUGGAGGCAGAUUUAGGGCAAUGAGACUGGUUCUGCCGCACAAAGUGCCAGGUCUAGGAGGUGCCACAGCCGUUGCAACUAUGAUGCAGUGAACUGAGCAGAACGGAAGGUGAGGAGCAGGGGGUGCUGAAUUUUGGCCUCGCACAGGGCACCGCUGAGAUUUGAAAGACCAAAGUCCACCCCUGGUGGCCUGCCUGAGCUGGGCCCAGCAUUGCCCUGCCAUGUGGAGCAGCCAACAAGGAAGCCAACACAACAAGGUCAACAGAUUCAGGAGUGCCUCACUCUGCUUCUGAUCCUCCCUUCACUAUCUAAGGCCAUUGCACCACAGAGACUUCCUUCCUUUCUGAUGAAUAAGCUGCCACAAAUAGGCCCUGAUUAAUCAUGUUUGUACCUGACAGGGCUCUGAACCACACUGUUUGCCAACACCAAGCCAGAGAGGGCUCCUCAUUUGCCUUUGAGGUCUAAUCAGGCAGAAAGGAGGCUCAGAAUGUGCUGCUAGGAGAAGCCAGGUGGCUGCCUCCAAGUCCCUAGCUGCCAGCUCACAGCGUACAACAAAGGACACCGGCUCUUUAUCUGCAGGAGCUAAUUGCAUGCUAUUUUCUUCUAGCUGGUGGUUCCGGAUCAUUCAUCCUCACCAAUUAGGGAGGAAACAGAGAGAUGCUGUUGGACAGGGAGGCAGAGGCAGCAAUUGUCCUUCAGGAAACUGAAGAGUCAGGCAGCAGGCUUCAUGAGGCAUCAGAAGAAAGCCCAUCUGCACAGCGCUGGGAAAAUGCAGAGUGAUCCAUACGUAGGAAAUCACAGAUUUAGAGGCUGGUGAUCAGGGUGGUACAUAUUUGGCCCUUUUGCCCAUGCAGGAUUUAUGUAGAGGUGUCCUCAGUGGGUAACCCUUGCUUAGAGAACUCCUCCCCACAGAAGGAGUCACCAGAGCAAAGGCUCAAUCCAUUCUGAAGCAUUCUUAUGUUGGAGGCUGCAGUGAAGCUCAUAUAGGGUUAGCUGAGGCAUGAGGAAUCUUCAUUCAUUCAUUCAUUCAUUCAUUUAUUCCCCAGCCACUCUGGGCAGCUCCCAACACUAUAUUAAAAACACAAUAAAACAUUAAACAUUAAAAAACUUCCCUAAACAGGGCUGCCUUCAGAUGUCUUCUAAAAGUCAGAUAGUUGUUUAUUUCCUUCACAUCUGAUGGGAGGGCAUUCCACAGGGUGGGCGCCACCACCAAGAAGGCCCUCUGCCUGGUUCCCUGUAACCUUACGUCUUGCAGUGAGGGAACUGCCAAAAGGCCCUCAGAGCUGGACCUCAGUGUCCCAGCUGAGCAAUGGAGGUGGAGACACUCCUUCAGGUACAUGUGACCCUCCAGACGUUGCUAGGUUCCAGCUCCAGUCAGCUGCAGCCUGAAUGGCUCAUGGCCAGGGAUGAUGAAAGUUAUAGUUUGGCAACAUCUGGAGGGCUGAAGGUUCCCCACACUUGAGCUAAGGGCUCCAACAUUAUUUUUCUAGCCUUCAGGUAGAUUUUGAGGAAUUUGAAUAGCAUUGUUUGGCAGAAUAUGGAAUGACAAAACAGGUGGGUUAGCAAGUGAAUAGCUGGAGCAUCUGGUAUCCAGGUUUUGAUCUAAAUUCCCCAAAUUUCUCCUUUUCUGUAGUGGGGGGCAGGCUUGAGGGCUCAUGGCUCACAGAUGCUGUUCACAGGUCAAAUCUGAUUGUAGUAAGAAACUCUCUCAGUAGCCUUGGUCAAGCCACUUUCUUUUGACCUCUGCCCCAUGUGCAGUAUAUGGGUGAUAAUGUUGCUGUAACCCUUCCUGAGAAUAGAACAUUUGCAAUGUGCUCUAUAAAUGCUGGUUACUGUUCUUCUGUUCCACUGAAUACCAGAUGGGUAGCAAGGGAUUGCCACUGUUGUCAUUAGGGAUAUUGGGAAAUUUUGCCAGAAAUGGAAACAGGAGCAGAAAUUCCCACAAUUCACAUGUUCCUUAAAGUUCAGUAUAGUGGUACCUCGGGUUACAGACGCUUCAGGUUACAGACGCUUCAGGUAACAGACUCCGCUAAUCCAGAAAUUGCACCUCGGGUUAAGAACUUUGCUUCAGGAUGAGAACAGAAAUCGCGCAGCGGCAGCACGGGGGCAGCGGGAGGCCCCAUUAGCUAAAGUGGUACCUCAGGUUAAGAACAGUUUCAGGUUAAGAACGGACCUCCAAAACGAAUUAAGUUCUUAACCCGCUCGGGUUACCACUGUAACACAAAACAUGCAAGCAAAGACUAACAAGUAUUUGCUUCUUUUUUUAGUCCACAAACUACAUAAAUAAUUACUCUCUUUUUCACAUUAUUUUCAGUGUUUCCCUUCCAAUGAAAUUAAUGAUUUAAUUAAUUAUGUAAAUCUCAGCCAUAGCAGAGAGCCAGAUAAAUAGGUUUAAGCAAAAGACAAAUGAUUGCAGAACAGAAAUGGAGCUGAUUUUUUUUUAAAAAGUAUUUUUUUAUUAAAGAUUUCUUGGUUUACAAAAGUAUGUGCAAUGUCUCUUUUUUCAAGUUACAUUUUCUACAGGUCAGUUUCAUUUGUUGAGACAUUAGUGUUACAUUAGGAAGAAAGAGGGGAAGAGGUGGAGGGGGAAAGGCGAGGGGGGUGGGCGGUUGGCGGUGUUUCUAUUUUACUUAAUGUGUGGGGUUUUGUGUCAGCGUCGUUUGUGCAGGUUCUCUUUGCUAUUUGCUUGUGUUCCUUUGGUGGUGAGAGAAGUUGGGGUUGGCCUAGAGUGUGAUUGCUUGUUUGGCUGUGAUGAACUUUGUUUUCAUGUGUGAGUGGGGUGGGUGGGUGUUUUGGAUCAGGUUAGCCAUAUUGAUUUGUAUGCUGUUGGUGGAUUCUUGUCGUUGUCUUGUUGGGCUGCGUAUGUGAUAAAGAGGAGCCAUACCAGGGCAAAGAUAUCUUCUUCUAUUUGUCCCCGUGUCAGUUUCAGUUUAUUGGUUAAUUUCUCUAGUAUUAUUUUUUUAAAAGAUUUUCUUGUUUUACAGAAAUGUGUGUAAUGUCUCUCAUAUUUUUUCCAUGUAACAUUUUUACUAAUCAGUUUCAUUUGUUGAGACACUGGGGGUGGGGAAGGGGUGGAGGGGGGAAGAUGGAUGGGGGUGGGGUCGGGUGACGAUGUUUCUAUUUUGCUUAAUGUAUGUAGGGUUUGGUGUCAGGAUUGCUUGUGCAGGUUCUCUGCUGUUCAUUUGUGUUUCUUUGGUGGCGAGAGAGGUUGGGGUUGGCCUAGGGUGUGGUUGUUUGCUUGUGAUAAUAAUAAUAAUUUAUUAUUUGUACCCCGCCCAUCUGGCUGGGUUUCCCCAGCCACUCUAGGCGGCUUCCAACAAAGAUGAAAAAUACACUAAAAUGUCACAUAUUAAAAACUUCCCUGAACAGGGCUGCCUUCAGAUGUCUUCUGAAUGUCAGGUAGUUGUUUAUCGCUUUGACAUCUGAUGGGAGGGCGUUCCACAGGGCAGGCGCCACUACCGAGAAGGCCCUCUGCCUGGUUCCCUGUAACUUGGCCUCUCGCCGUGAGGGAACCGCCAGAAGGCCCUUGGAGCUGGACCUCAGUGUCCAGGCAGAACGAUGGGGGUGGAGACGCUCCUUCAGAUAUACUGGACCGAGGCCGUUUGGCUGUGGUGAUCUUUGUUUUUGUGUGUGAGUGGGGUGGGUGGGUGUUUUGGGUCAGGUUAGCCAUACUGAUUUGUAUGCUGUUGGUGGAUUCUUGUUAUUGUCUUGUUGGGCUGUGUAUGUGAUAAAGGGGAGCCAUACCGGCGUCUUCUUCUCUUUGUCCCUGUGUCAGGUUCAGUUUAUUGGUUAAUUUUUCUAGUAAGGCUGUUUUCCAUACUAUUUGGUACCAUUGGUCCAUGCUUACUCCUGACAGGUCUUUCCAGUGUCUGGUUAUGGUGUUUCUGGCUGCUGAAAGUAGGUGGGUUGUGAGUUCUUUGUGGUGUAAAUGGGCAUUGUUGUCUUGGAAGAUGUUUAGGGCCAAUUCUGGGGUGGUGGCUAAUACUUGCUUAGUUAUUUUACAUAUUUCUCGUAUGGCUGUUGUCCUGAAUAGUUGGAUUUUGGGGCACUCCCGCCACAUGUGGAGGUAUGUGCCUGUGGAGGUGCACCCUCUCCAGCAUUUUGGUGAGGUUCCUGGGCGUAUUAGUGCUAGUUUUCUUGGUGUUAGGUACCACUUGUAGGUGUUUCAGAGUGAGUUCUUUUCUUUUCGUUGAUAUGGAUUUAAAGGGGGGUUUAGACCACAUUCUGGUCCAUUGAGUGGGGUUAAUCUCAUAGGCUAUGUCAUUCUCCCAUUGUUUUUUGAUUGCGUCUAGGGGGUUUGUGGGAUUUUGGAGUAGUAUUUUGUAUAUUGCAGAUACCAUCCCUUUACCGUUUCCCUUUGUUGUUAGGAGAAGGUUUUUGAAGGUUGUCAGGGGCCUAGUUGCUGCUGAUUUUACUGUUGGGUUGUUUAAGAGGGCAUGUACUUGGUGUUGUGUUAACCAGGGCAUUUGGGUGUCUUCUAGUUUGUCUUGUAUUUCUUGUGUUGACAAAGGUUUGUUAUUUUUAUAAAAGUCUAUUAGGCGAUAUAAGCCUUUGGUUUGCCAGGUUUUUAUCUGGAGGUUUUGUGCCGCAUGGUAGAAUAAUGGGUGGUACGCCAGGGGAAUUAGUGGGGAUGGGGUUGUGGAUAGUUUGCCUAUUUCUGUUUUCCAUGCUUUGAGCAUGGUCUGUGUGUACCUGUUAAGUGUUGUGGGAAUUUUCUUUAGUUUGUUUGGGAGGAGUGGGUAUGCUGUGGUGCACGUAUUUUCAAUUGUGUCCCUCUCUAGGUGUACCCAUUGUUUUGUCUCAUCUUCGAGUAUAUAUGGGAUUAUAUGGCAUAUUUGGUUGGCAAUGUAAUAUGCUUCUAUGUUGGGGAUUCCCCAUCCUCCUUCUGAGGUGGGGAGGUGCAGGUAUUUGGGGCUUAUCUUUUGUUUUUUAUGUGAGAAGAUAAAAGAGUGUAGUUUUCUCUGCCAACUGCAGAGUUGGGUUGGGGGAAUCCAGACUGGGAGGGUUUGGAAUAGGUAGGUUAGUUUGGGGAGGGUGAUCAUUUUGAUCAUGGCUAUUUUGUCUGAGAGAGUGAAAUUCAUGUUGUUCCAUCUCUUUAGGACUUUGUUAAUUUGUCGCCACAGGGGCUUGUAGUUGUGGAGGUACAAUUUAUUGAGGUUUCUGGUUAUUUGUACCCCUAGGUAUCUGAACUUGGUGUGGCAAAGUUUUAUUUUGGUGACCUUCGUGAGUUCUUUUUGGGUGUGAGGAGGGGUGUUGAAGCACAUAGCUUCUGACUUUGUAAAAUUUACCUGUAGACCCGAGACCAUUGCAAAUGUGUUGAGUUCUCUGAUUAGGGAGGUUACUGUGCUUAUGGGGUCUGGUGUUGUGACCAUUAGGUCAUCUGCAAAGAGCCCUAAUUUAUAUGUUCUGCCUUUUAUUUCCACUUCCUUGAUGUCUGUGGCUGCUCGGAUUCGGAUUGCUAAGGGUUCCAGAGCCAGGAUAAAUAAGAAGGGAGACAGUGGGCAUCCUUGUUUCGUGCCUCUUUGGAUAGCUAUAGUAUUAGAAUCCAUAUUGUUAGUUCUGCAUUUUGCUGAGGCUUGGGAGUAUAUUUGUUUGAGGAUUUGUAAGAAGUUGGGGUCAAAUUUCAUGUUAGUUAGUACUGCUAAUAUGUAUUUCCACUCUAAGCAAUCAAAGGCUUUGAGGAUGUCUAGGGACAUAAUUGUCAAUGGGAGUUUGGUUGCCUUGCUGUGUUCGAUCAGGUUCAGUAGUUUCCUGAUGGGGUCUGUUAUAUUGUGGCCAGGGAUGAAGCCAGUCUGAUCUGGGGCUAUUAACUUGUGUAGGAAUUUUUUUAGGCGAUUAGCCAAGAUUGAUGUGAAUAUCUUGUAGUCUUGAUUUAUUAAUGAGAUUGGGUUGUAUGAUUCUACUUUGAGGUCUUUCAGUGGUUUUGGGAUGGAGACUAUUUUGGAGUAGGUCCAGGUUUGAGGGAUAGGCCCCCCUUUUAUGAUGUCAUUGAAUAGACGGGUCAUGUAGGGCAUCAGGGGUUCUUUGAAUUUCCUAUAGAAUUCUGCUGUAAAACCAUCUGGGCCUGGGGCUUUGUGUGGCUUCAGGUUUUUGAGGCCCGUAUCUAUUUCCUCUGGGGUGAUAGGACUGUCCAUGAAUUCCUGUUCCUCAUUGGUUAAGGUAGGCAUGGUCAGUCCUGCUAGGAAUUUUUUGAUUUCCUCCUCAGGUGGGUUAGGAGAGGUGUAUAGGUUGGAGUAUAGGGACCGCUUACCAGCGGGAAGGUAAAUGGCGUUCCGUGUGCUGUGCUGGCUCACCAGAUGCAGCUUGUCACGCUGGCCACGUGACCCGGAAGUGUCUGCGGACAGCGCUGGCUCCCGGCCUAUAGAGUGAGAUGAGCGCACAACCCUAGAGUCUGUCAAGACUGGCCCAUACGGGCAGGGGUACCUUUACCUUUAUAGGUUGGAGUAAAAUUCUGCAAAUUCUGAGGUUAUUUCUUUGGGGGAGAAUGUUAUGUUGCCGUCUUUUUUGGUGAUGCAGUGUAUUCUUGUUUUGAGUGCUUUUUUCCUACACCUAUUUGCUAAUAGUCUGGAGUUUUCUCUUUUAUGCAAGCUCCUCUGGUGACCACUUUCAUUGUGUCCCAUAGGAGGAGGGUUGUCAUAUUGUCUACAUCAUUUUCCUUGAAGUAGUUCUGGAGACUUUUUUGAGACUCUCUCUAAUUUGUUUAUUUGUGGUUAGGAUGGGACUGAAGGACCAUGAUAGGGUGGUUUGUGUUCCCUCUCCUAUUUUAAGGGUAACUUCUACUGGGGCGUGAUCUGUGAUUUUAAUGUUACCUAUGUUCAUUGAUUCCACUGAGGGGAUCAGACCCUCUGUGAGCAGAAUGCUGUCCAGUCUGGACACUGUGCCAUGGCAUCCGGACUGGAAUGUGUGGCUGGUGUCUCCCGGGUUUUGUUCACCCCAAUUAGAGUCCCUAAUUGUUAGGGGUUUCCUUCAGAGAAAGGUUGCCCAUGGGGUUGUGGGGUGGGUAUCUUUCAGUGAUAUGCCUUUCACAUUUGAGGUCACCUCCCAGGAUUGCUUCCCCUUCGGAGAAGAAGAACUUGUUUAGUGUUUUCUGGACGAAGUCUAGUUGUUUUGAGUUUGGGGCAUACAUGGAGCCGAUUGUCAGUUGAGUUUUGCCAUCUAGUGUCCCUUUAGCGAAAAUGAAUCUGCCUCUUUUGUCUUUUAAGACUGUCGUGGCUUUGAAGUUCAGGUCUCUACUAAGUAUUAUGGCUACUCCGCAGGCCUUCCCUGAGCCAGUUGCAACCCAUUGUUGACUGAAGCGGGGGUCACUCAAGAGUUUGCUCCCUUUGGGUGGGUUGUGUAUUUCCUGUAGGAAGGUGAUGUAUGGUUUUAUGGUGUUGAUAUACAAGGUGAUGUGUUUUCUUUUGAUGGGGUUUCCCAACUCCCUCACAUUUAAUUUAAUUGCUUUUAAGCUAGUCAUCUUGCUUAUCUACUAUAUAGGGUGAUUCCCUGCCAACCCAUUUGGGUUGCCCUGUCUCUCUCACCUUGGGUUGUCUAUCGAACCAAUGAAGUUGCACUGACCUAGAGUGUAGUGGGUGGGGGAGUAGGGGGUUAGAAUUAGGUUUGGGUUAAAGAGUGGAGUGUAGAUUGCAGAAAGUAUCCUAUAUGUAGUCAUAUAGGUGUUUAAUUGGGGUAUCAUGGGCCAUCUGGCAUUUAGCUGGUGUGGAGGUCUCAGCUGGCGUGGAGGGCCUUGUUCAAGGACAGACCAUCCUUCCUGUUGUUUGCGAUAGGGAGUAGUCAGUGAGACGGUGUUAAGCACCUUUGUGACACCAAUGUUGUGUAUAGGCAUAAGCAAUGUUUUCAGUGUUAUUUACAACAUCAUUGGUGUGUUGGGGUGGGGAUGUGGGUGUUGGUACGCUCUGGCACCACCAUUGUGCUGGUGGAGUGUCAGAUUUUGGCCUGUUUGUGGGUUGUUUUCUUGAGGUUGGGGGAGUUAUUUCAGUAUAGUGUAGGGGGGUGCUGGAAGUGUGAGUUGUGGGUUGUUGGGUAAUGGGUAAUGUGAUUUGAUGUCAUCUGGACUGGUGUUGGGGUGGGGAUCUCUGUGGAGUUGUAGGGUUGGGGGGGGAUUGAUGGUGUUAGCUAUAUUUAUGGCAUGGGGGAGAGGAAAAGGGGGAUGGGUUCACCAGUCCCUCAGUUGGAGGUGAUUUCCGGUUGCUUCGUUCAGCUGUGGUUGUUGUUUCAGGGUUGUCAUUCUAUGAUGUGUUGGUUUGGUUGAUCUGGUUGAGGUUGGUUUGGUGUCUUGUGCUGUAUAUUCGGUGGAACGAUUCUGUGUGUGGUGCUUGACUGUAUUGGUUUGCAUUGUUGUGUCGCUUCUGUGAUUUCUUUUUCCUCUUUACUAUCAUCCAAUCACUUGUUGUUGUUUCAUCAUGAUCUUGGCUUUCACUUGGUUGGUCUGCCAUUCUGGUGGAGGGUCGAGUCCGAGGUUCUUCAGCAGUUACAGGGCUUCAGGUAUGUUGGUAGCCGUGUGUUCUUUUGUGCUGCUUGUUACGAUGAAGUGGAAAGGGAAGCCCCAUCAGUAUUUGAUCCCUUUUUGUUGGAGACGUUGGGUGCAUGGGCGUUGGCUUCUCCUCCAGUUUGAGGUUGUUCCAUACUUCUUCUUUUUUGUAAUGUUGCGAAGCACACAACGAUGUUGGGGGGGGGCGUUGGAUUUUGGCAUAGGUUUUAGAGCUCUGUGAGCCCUCUCCAGGUCGUCUACCUCGAGUGUCAGGUUUGGGAUCAUGGUUUUUAGCCAGCGUACAAUGAGGUCUGCUGGGCUUUACUCCUCCACUUUUUGGGGAAAGUUGCGGAAGUGGAUGUUGCUAUGUCUACUGCGAUCUUCAAGGUCCGCUUGUUUGAUUCUCAUUUCUGUGCUUUCUGUUUCCAGGUGGUUUACCAGUUCAGCCAAUUUCUUAUUCACAUGUGUGUUCUCCUCUCGGUAUUGCUCUAUUAUUCUUUCUUGCAUUUGGUUCUUGUUCUCUAGAGGGGAGCCACUGUGACCUUCAGUAUUUCUGCUAAUCUCAUUUCCAUUUCCCUCAGAUCUCAUUUCGUUGUUGGGUGGUCGUCAUCUUGAAGGGGUGCUGCGGGCUCAGCACUGUUUGCCAUCUCCCUGGUUGGUGUCAUCUCACUCUCCCUAGUGGUUUUGGUUUGAGAUCUGCUUGGCGUCCUCUUGGGGUGGGGUGUGUUAUGAUUGGGAGUUGUGGUGAUGAUGGUUCCUGGGUGUUGUUGUGUUGUUGAGCUGGGCAGGCGUUGUUGACUGGUGCCUUUUACAGAGUGUUGGGAUUAGGCAGUCAUUUUUGUCACCUCUGGGCUGCAUUUCAAGGGCUUCUCUGGGGUUUCCGUAGAUGCCUCAGUGGUGUUGGCGAAGCAGGGAAUAGACAAGCAGACAGACAAGUAGACCAACAGACAAACAGUUGACAUAGAGGGGUAACAGGCUGAGAUGUAAGAGACUGGUGAAGUGGGGCCAGGGGAGGAUGGGGGGUUAUUUGUGGGUAUCCCUGUGCACACACACCUACAGGCUCAUGCACACACUGGGGGGAAGUGAGGUCCAGUUAAGGGUGGGAAAGGGGAUUAGGGAUUUGUAGUAGAAAGUUAAAAUUUAAGACUGGUAAGGUUAUGUACUAAGCUUUGAUCCUUUUUCAAUUUUUUUUAUUGAAAGUUAUAACAAAACAUAUUAUCCAAAAACAUAUACUUAUUCCCCUCCCAUUUUUCCUCCCUCCCCCCUCCCCCCCCACAAACCCAUCCCCCCACCCCACCCCCCGACUUCCCUCAGUUCCAGUCUUUGGUUUCUCCAAUAAUGCUAUUUUCUGCAUGUUACAAAGUUGUAUAGAUCCUCAAACCGUUUAGCUAAUUAUUAUCAGUAAAAAAAAAAAUUGUGAAUGUUUAUUCAAAACCUGCCAAGGAGUCCAGUUCGCGUCUUCAGAUACUUUGUGAAAGGUUCCCAUUCAUCCUUAAAGUCACAGUUAUCCUUGUCCCGUAGCUUAUAUGUCAAUUUUGCCAGUUCUGCAUAGUCCAUCAAUUUUUCUUGCCAUGAUUCUUUAGUUGGGGUUUCUUCAGUCUUCCAUCCUUGUGCUACCAGAACUCUCGCGGCCGUUGUCGCAUACAUGAAGAUGUUUUUCAACUUUUUUGGCAGGUCUUUCCCUACAAUCCCCAACAAAAAUGCCUCGGGUUUUUUAACAAAUGUUAAAUGGAACAUUUUCUUCAAUUCAUUGUGUAUCAUUUCCCAAAUUUUUAAAAUUACUUUACAAUCCCACCACACAUGAUAAAAUGUCCCCUCCUUUUCCUUACACUUCCAACAUAUAUUUGAACUAGUUUUGUACAUUUUCCCUAACUGCACUGGUGUUGUGUACCAUCUGUACAUCAUCUUCAUGUAAUUUUCCUUCAAUAGGGAACAAUCUGUAAAUUUUAAGUCAGUUUUCCAUAAUUUAACCCAAUCUUCCAUCAUAAUGUUGUGACCUACAUCUUGUGCCCAUUUAAUCAUAACUGAUUCUACCUCUUCAUCUUUCAUCUCCCAUUUGAAUAGUAUGCUGUAUGCAGCCUUCGGUAGUUUCACUUUCCCUUCAAUCACUUCCGUUUGAAACCUAGAUCUAGUAUAACUAAAUCCUUUCUUACUGUCUUCUUUAUAUGUUUCAUAUAGUUGUCGAUAAUGCAACCAACUCUGAAAGUGGUCUUUGAUCUCAUCAUAAUCUCUUAAUUUCCAUUUUCCAUCAUGUUCCUUUAAUAAAUCAGCAUAUGUGAGCCAUUUUCCUUUCUUUCCAAGUGGUUUGAGCAGUAAUGCUUCAUGUGGUGAGAGCCACCACGGGGUCUUUUGUUCCAAUAAGUCUUUGUAUCUGUCCCAUACUCUCAUUAAUGAUUUCCUAAUUAUAUUUUUUUUAUAAUUAAUAUUUAUUAAAGUUUCAGAAAAAAUAAAAUCACAUUAAUAAACACAAAAAUUUUACAAAAUACAAAGUACAGAAUAGAAAAAGGUAAAAAAAGAAAAAAGAAAAAAGAAAGAAAAAACAGUUAAAAAUAAUUCCGUCCUUUCAUAACCUCUUUUAAAUUUACUUAUUUCCCGGACUUCCUCAUACCUCCCUCUUUUGUAUUCCAUUUCAGUUUGUAAACCCAGCAAUUUCUUAUCCUCCUUUUUAAUUCCAGUCCUAAAUCUUGAUAUAUUAUGACAUUAGAUUUUUACCUAUUUGAACCAAUUUUUCCAUUUCUCUUAGUUUUUUUGGUCCUAAUCCUUAAUCUUGAUACAUUUAUAGCCUUAAAACCUGUUCAGCUAGAAGCCACUUAACUUCAAUCCAACAUCACUCUAACAUUCAUUAAUUUUGCAGUGUUUCUGUAAAUAAUCUUUAAAUUUCUUCCAAUCUUCUUCCACCGACUCUUCUCCCUGGUCACGGAUUAUUAAUUAUAUGGUUGUAAAAACUUCUAUGAAUCUUCCCUUGCCCGUACCAUAAAUAUGCAUGCCAGCCAAAUCUGUUGUCAUGUCCUUCUAGUUCUAAUGCCUCUUGCUUGUCCAAUCUCAUCCAGUCCCUGAUCCAUACCAAACAAGCAGAUUCGUAAUACAAUUUAAGGUCUAGGAGGGCAAACCCACCUCUAUCUGUAAGUAUUUUAUGUUUUAUCCUUGGCCUUUUGCCCCCUUUUUAAGGUUCUUGUUAUGUACUAAGCUUUGAUCCUAGAACAAUAGGCAGGUAGGAGCCUAGAAUGCAACAACUGAUUGGCCUGCAGGAGAAGACUGCUUCCAGGAGGGAAGCAGAAUCAGCCAUUCAGACGGGACUCAUUGUGUAAAUAAUGUAUAUAAAAGCCUGAGGUUUGGGGGAAAAUUUAAUCACUGUUUUACAAGCUGCAAUAAAGAGCAUGAAAUCACUGCAGGACUCCGAGUAUAUUUCAGUUCUGUUUAGGAACAGAGCAAAACAAAACAGAGACAGAAGGGAAAACGAAAGAGGAAGAGAAGAAAAAGAAGAAGGAGAAAAAAGAAGAAGGAAGGAAGGAAGGAAGGAAGGAAGGAAGGAAGGAAGGAAGGGGGAAUGGAGGGGAAAUUAGGGUAAAAUAUACAAAUAUACAAUAAAGGGGAGAGAGAGGAAGAGAGAGGGGAAAGGGGGGAAGAAUAGUGGUAAUGGUGAUAAAAGAUUUGUCGCGCUGGUCCAAGUAUGAGGUGGGGAGAUGUGUGUGUGUGUGUGUGUGUGUUGGUGUGUGGGUUUUGUUAUUAGUUUGCGGGGAGGAGAGAACAGAAAGGGGAGGGGAGGGUAGGAGGCUUAGGGGUUGACUAGGUUGGACUAGGUGGCCCUUGGGGUCCCUUCCAACUCUACAAUUCCAUGAUUCUAUGGUUCUAUGCCUACUCCAUUGCACAGGGUGUUCAUGCAUGGACACCCCCCACCCCACCCAUCCCAUCUGCAUCAUUCUUCUGCUGCUGGGUCUCGACUGAGGUUUCCCUGGGUUUGUACCAUCUGCUCCUACUUUGUUUCCAAACCUGAGCCAAGUUGGCACUAGCAUCAUCUGCUUUCUUGAUAUUUAAAAGAAAGCAUUUCUCUUAACUCUGUUCUGCUGUGGUUGCAUGUUCUGUAUUAAUGACCAUAAUCAAACAAAAGGCUGAUGGCAGGGGGAGAAAAAGAAUAAAGGAAAGGGACCAUCUACAUACAAUCUAUGGCAAGAGGCUGUGGGAAGAAAUGAUAUAUUUUCUGGAGAAGAUUGAUGAGAUUCAGUCUGAUAUGUUGUAAAACGAUUUCUUUUAUAGAUGAAGCCAACUAUCAAGCCACUUGACACCUGACUGUCGUGGUUUGAACAGUCCACUUAGCAGGUAAGUGCCUGGAAGACAACAUGCAGAAGGUUCACAGAUCUGGUUUUCCCCUGAAGCAAAAGGCACAGCAGUAAUGGACCGUGACCAAAGUGGAUUAGCCUCAAGAGCAGAUGGGGCAUCAUUGAGAUGGGAUCUGGGAAUGAGGGGGCAAAACCUAGAGGUGGUAGAUGGCCUCCAGCAACAUGUGUGGAAUCACAUGUUUAAAAAUGUUAUCUUACAUAAUAUAACAACUUUAAAAGGAACUUUAAAACCAUUCCUGUUCACCCAGACAUUUGAUGGCAGAAAGAAACUGUUUAAAUUAUUAGCUGUGAGGGUGUAUGAUUGUUUUCAAAAUUGUUAAAUGUUUGAAUGCUUUUAAUUUUUUUAUGUUUUUUUAAUGUUUUAAUUUUUUUAUUUUAUUUUAAAUUCUAUUGUUUUACUGCUUGCUUGAUUGGAGGAAGAGUAGAACUAAAGAAAAGAAAAAGAUCAGAGAUCCAAAGCAAUUAUUAACAUUAAAAGUUUAUUUAAAAAUACCCCAAAUGUACUGAAACAUUCCCCAACUCUCUUUUCCCCCUCUGAUACUUUCUUCUGGCAUUUUUAGUAGGCCAACUGGAUCCUGCAUUUGAUCCUACAAUUUGAUCCUAAUAAGAUGGUCUUAAUUUUGCAGAUUUCAUGAUGGCAAAAGCCCCGAAUACUAUGAAUCAAAUACCCUCCAUAUCAUUUUAAAGCAAAGACAUCACUUUGUGCUUUUUUAUGCUGUUAGGAUACUUCUGAGCAUGGAUUUAGUUGGUGUUAAAGAGUGACUUUUUAAUUGGUGGUGUUAGCAACUUGGAACAUUGUUUAAAUUUAAUUGCUUGCUCCACUACUCAGGGGUCGCUUAGUUCAGGCAGUUAUGAUGAAAUGCAAGAUAAGACAGUAAUUUGAUUUGGUCUCCUUUACAUUGGACGUGGCACCACAAGUCUUGCCAGCUUUGAUUAAGUUAGCACCAAAACCUAAACAUUGAAACUGAAAACUAAAAUUGCAUAUGUAAAGACUAAAGGGAACAGUGUGCUGCUUGUAUCUGUGUUUGUGCAUGCCAGUCCUAGUCUAAACCCAUUUUCAUCCAGGGUGCUCUGCUUAUGAAGGGCAUCGUGGGACUAGCUGGCUGGUAGUUUAUUUUAGACUUUUACUCAGAUUCCUUAAACAAGAAUUGAGGAACUACUUUUCUCCUGAGGGCCAGAUCUGAAUAUGGUCAACAUUUUGGGGGCUCUAUUCCAAUGAUCGGUAGAGCCAGAAGCAGAAAUGGGAGGGGCAAAUGGGGCCUGCACAAAAUUGCUGUGCUAUUAUGGGUACAAAACAGCAGUGGCAUGGGAAUUAAUAGUAAUUCUCUCUCUCUCUCUCUCUCUCUCUCUCUCUCUCACACACACACACACACACACACACACAUCCAAGCCACAUUCCCCCCCUUCACAGUGCAGGUCGUCUGAUCCACAACCAGUCACACACUUGCACAGGGCCCUUUUCACACUGUGCAGCUGAUCCUCAAAACAGUCACAGCCCACAUCACCUCCAUCCUGGACAUGACAGAGUGGACAUGCAAAGUCACGGCUUUGUUCUUGGAUUCCAGAAGGAGCUGGAAGCAUAGCUGAACUCCUGCUACUGCUUGUUUAUUUUAAUUAAUUGAUUGAUUAAAAACAUAUCUACCACCUGCAUCUCACAAGCAUCCGGUUGGCCACCCUAAGAACAGGUUGUUAGACUAGAUGAAGCAUUGGCGUGAUCCAGCCAGGCUGUGUGUGUGUGUGUGUGUGUGUGUGUGUGAUCAAAGGAAAUCUGUGACAGUGGGCAUGCACAUCAUUUGUUUAAGAUAUAGAAGUUAAUGAUUUGCCACUUUAAAAUAUUCAUAAUAUCAAUGUUAAAAACAAUGCACAAGCAGCUCUUUUAAUUUACAGGCCAAAAGGGAAUCGAGCAGAAACAAAACACAUACACAGAACCAGUGAGCAAGAACAUAGGCAUAUUCUUCUAAUAUGCUCUAAGUUGCUAAUGAGAGGAGCGGGGGAGUCACAAGCUUAUUCUGAAAGCAUAGAUCAUUUCUCACAAAUCGCCCUUCGCCAUCCAAGGGAUCAGUCUUCAUGCUUGAAGUCUAACAAUCCCAUCAGGCGUGUUUUCCUUGAAACACGCCGCUAUCUUAGUAAUCACGUCAGUAAGUAAAUGUGUUCCAGCCUUCCCCUCUGAUGAUAUUUUCCCCUGAUCUCUAAGAAUGCAUAUUUAUUUGCAGCCAGCCUAGAGGGGCAUGGCCCCCUUUCCUCGAUCAGCCUCCAUCAUAUGCAAUGCUGAAUUAUUUGUUUGAAGGCUGCCCAAGUUUAAUGGGCCAAUUGAAAACUUAUAAGAAGAGGCGCUAAUUGGCUUAGCGGAAAGCAAAAGCCCAGGCAGGGUUUUCGGUGCUGGGCCCCAUCAGUCUUAUCAAUUUGCUGGAGCUGACAGCAAAGGAUGAUUUGAGGCACGGAUGGCUAUUAAUCAUAGCGCUUGCUGAAUUCACAAAUGCCAGGAAGGGCCCAUCAGAAGGAUCUGCAGGAAAGCGAGAAACGUUAUGACUUAUUUCUCUGUCGGUGAAGGUGGCGUCUAUCCUCACCUGCGGAAGUGCAGGGAGGGGCCAGGGGCUGGAGUCCUUUUUUUCCUGGCACAUGAAUGUUCUCGGUUCAUCUGCUGCUGAUACUGCUCUGUUGACAAGAAACAUGGGAGAAAGGAGCAGGAGUCAAAUAGGUCCUCCUAGGGAACGGACCAUUUAGGCAUUCUCACCAGUGCCAUCAGGGUGGGAAUUUACAGCAGGAGUCCAGGGCUUCGCGUAGCAGAAUAAGCAGGUGUGGCCCCCAAGCACAGCAGGGCUAGCUUUAGUUGAAUUUAUGGGAGGGGGCACAUAGCUCAGUGGCAGAGCAUCUCCUGGUAGGGCUGGGAGAGUCCCCCUGUCUAAAAUCCUGGAGAACCACUGCCACUCAAGGAAGACAAUGCUGAGCUAGAUAGUGUCAAGGAGCUGUCAGGGAGCCAGGUCGGCUACAGAGCAGGCACACACACAGAAGGCAUGGGAUGCAGUUCACUCUUUAUUGGGGGGGGGGGACAACACAGUAAGUUACCCAGUGAGAUUGCUGGCCAAGUGGGGACUUGAGCCCUGGUCUCUGAUGUCCUAGUCCAACACUCUAACUACUACACCACACUGGUGAAUGACUUACAAAUUACUAUCUAAAGUAAGUUACAUCAUAUACAUGACUUUACCAUAUAUGGUGGGUGCCCAUUAAGUCCAGAGUGGAAUAUUAUCCAACCUGCACCACUGGGCAUCCUUCACUAGAAAUCAGGGCUGCAUAGUAUCCUCUUAGCUCACCUUCCUGGACUAUUAGUUUGGCUCAGAUACAGUCCCUGUAUCUCAGGCUCCCUUAAUCCUCUUCUUACAAUAUCAAGAGCAACAUGCAGAACUGGCCUUAGCAGGGCAAAAUAGCCAGGGCAAAAUAAGGUAUUGAUUAAACAAAAUUGUGAUAUAUUUGGUAAGUGGAACAUGGUUUGAGUGAUAUAAAAAGAAAACAGACAACAGAUGAUAAAUCAUGGCCUGCUAACCUCCUGUUUAAUACAUAAGAGUCCACUGACUUCACUAAUUCAUGUUAUAAUAAGGGAUGGGGGGGCAGAAUCCAGUUCUGUUUGGAUUUAAACCUAUCUAAAUUGCCCUUGCUCAAAUAAGCUGAAAUGCAGGCCUGCAAAAUUUGCACUUAGCUGAAUUUUGCAAACGCUGUGCACAAAAAUGUGUGUACACUGUGUAUUAGGCUAGAGUACAUAAAACACAUGUUGUUAAAAAUAACAUCCAAAAAGUGCAUAAGUUUAGCCAAUAUUAGGGAAAAUGGCUUGCACAGACAUGUACAUUGGGCAAAAUUGCAUACCAAAAGAAGAUUCAGGCUAAUCUCCCAGUGAAAUAACUGGGGAGUGGGGGUGAGGGUUGCUAAGAGAGGUAGGUAAGUCUUCAGACUAAAAUGCUGGUGAAUGAGGACUUCAGCUAAAAAAAUUAAGAACUGGUCUGGCAAUGUGAACUUGAGUCUGGAAAAAAUGAAAAGCAGAAAAAAACUGAAAUUGACAGAUUUGUCCAUCACUACUUAGAAUGCAAAAGGAUUGGAGCUUGGCAGAAAUGCAGGAUCUGUGCAGGACGUUGGCUCCGUUUGUGUGAUG
Molecule: long non-coding RNA, 37951 nt
Filed under: Podarcis lilfordi (Lilford's wall lizard)
Lineage: Eukaryota; Metazoa; Chordata; Lepidosauria; Squamata; Lacertidae
Source: RNAcentral